This 10469-nucleotide long non-coding RNA is filed under the name Daucus carota (carrot). Its description in RNAcentral is "long non-coding RNA (DCAR_LNC000807)". The record is from RNAcentral. Lineage: Eukaryota; Viridiplantae; Streptophyta; Magnoliopsida; Apiales; Apiaceae.
CUUAAUUAAACAAACAUCAGCACAAAACAAUAUACAGUUCCUCAUUAUGUUUAACUAAUCUUUUAGUAAGACCUUUAAGUUAAAAGUGCUAAAGUAACAGUAGAGACCUUGAAGCAAUUACGAGCUAAACGUUAUAAUAGCCUGAACACUCCGUACUUUAACUUUUUAUAUAUUAAAACACCAAGAUAUUGGCGAUUAUUUCACACAUUCCAUAUCAGCCACACGUACCAGACAGGUAAUGUUGGCAAUUAAUUGGAAAUUAUUUAGUACAUGAUGAUUGUGAGCCACUACAAGAAAAACAGACUCAGACAACACCUUUCAGACAACACAACGAAAAAAAACCGUUGCGAAAAAAGAACACACAACGGUUGCUUUUUUGACCUCGACUAUCCAUUGUCUAAACCAGGACUCAUACUACGGUUUUUAAAAGCGUUGUUAAAAAAUAUGUAAAAAAGUUUGUUUGACACAACAGUUUAUAAAGACCAUUGUUUUUCAGAAAUUCACACAAUUGUCUAUAAAACUGUUGUUAAAUAUUAUACAACGGGUUUCCAAAACCAUUGUUAUUUGCAAAGUCAGACAAUGUUGUCAAGUAACCGUUGUAAUUAAUAAACAACGGUUGGGGAAACAGUUGUGUUUGUACAUAUUACACAAUAUUCCACUAAACCGUUGUUAAAGAAUGCACAACGAUUUUAAUAAUGAGUUGUUGUAUUCAAAUUCACACAACCGUUUUUGGUAGCAUUGUUCUUUAAACCUCGCACAACAGUUUGGCUUAAUUAUAUGUAUUGUAUUGUUGUAUCAUUUUAACUCAUACAACAGAUGAGUAUAUAGAAACCGUUGUCUAUUAGAGACACUAAAAGACAAAAAUUACCUUUUUAUAAUAAGACAAAAUUUACAAUUGACUAUUUUUGUUAAAAAAACAUAUAAAACAAACAUAAAAAAAAUUAAUUUUUUUUAUACAUGACUAAUAUUGGUAGUUCUUAACAUCCGUACGGUUAGAUCAUCAAAAAAAAUAUUUAUAAAUUAUUACGGAACUAAUCUUAUAGAUAACAAAAUUUCUAACCAGUGCUUCCUAAAUUGUAAACAUAAAACACAUACUAAGAGGGGUGUAUUGGAUUGGGAUUUUAAAGAUUUUUUUGCAUUCAUGAAAUCCGAGGGUAUUCGAUUGGGAUUGUUUGAAAUCCAUUAAAAUCUUGAGGUAUUCAAUUGGGAUUUUAAAUUAUGCUUUAAAAUCCGAUGGUAUUCAAUUGGGAUUGUUUAAAAUCCAUUAAAAUCUGAUGGUAUUCAAAUGCUGAUGGAUUUUUUUUCAUUUCAUAAAAUGAUGGAUUUUGUGGCAUUCUUCAGUGUAUUUUAAGUUUUUUGAAAUCCCACCAAAUUCAAUGGGAUUUUGAAGCAUUGUACCUAAAUCCUAUCAACUCUGCGACAUUUCAUCAAGAAUCCGCACAAAAUCAAAAUCUCAUACAAUCCAUUAAAAUCCAUAGACUAAAAACAAUGCAUUAAAAUCCCAAUCGAAUACACCCCCGUAAUACUCACGUCCGAACUACAAAAUUAUCUUCUUGUUACAAAUGAACAAUACAAAUUUGCAUAUAUGUUUAAUACAAAUAUAAUUUUUAGAUAAAAAACAUAAAAAUAAGGAUUUUUCAAGGAUAAGAGAAUCUUUAACUCUUAAAAAAAAUAAUUUAUUAGACAACUGUUUUUUUCCAAUAAAUUGUUGUUUACACUACUUACAUACAACGAGUUUUGUUGAAAACGUUGUUUGAGCUUAUUUUGGACAAUAAUUUCUCUUACAAAAAUUCUCAUGGGACAAUAACCAUUGUCUAUUUACAAGAAAAUGUGGCACCACCUGAUUGGUGGAAAAUAUUUCACCUGGAUUGCUUACUUGGCAAAAUGUCACCAAUUGAUUGACUUCACCUGGAUCACUUAGUUGGCAUAAUAAGAGCCCUUGACUUUCUGAAGGUGUCACACAACGGUUUUUUAAGAAAACUGUUGUAUAAUAUCUAAUUCUUAAAUUUUUUAAUUUUAUAAUGACUUUGAAAUUGAUUUUUAAAAUUUUUAAAUUUGAAUAAUAAAAUAAUAUGACAGUCAAAAUUUAAUAAAUUUUAUCAUUUAAAAUUUGACCAUGGCUAUUAUAAACUCUUAGAUCAACCUGAACUAGGUCUAUCAUAAUCAAACAUGAUUACGCUCGAGAGCGCCCAAUGAGCGCCUUGGGAGCGCCCUAUAAGCGCCCCAGGAAAAAUUUUCAUUAACCAGCUCUACGCCUCUACCUCUCUAGAGAAACACAUUCUCUGUCUCUUCUCUCUCAAACAAACUCUCUCAUUUUCUUCACUGUGGAACAAAUUCCAGAUCUUUCUUCUCAGUCUCUUCGUCUCGUCGGCUGGGUCCGGAGCGCCCGAGAAGCGCCCUGGGAGCGCCCCAGGAGCGCCAAGUGCGCCCGAGGUGCGCUUGAGGACCUCACCAGCGUCGACCUGGGCACCAAGGAUGCCCUAAAUCGACCUGGGUGAGGUCGAAAAAUGACUUGGGCGUCAAAAAACACCCAACGCCCGAGAGCGCCAGAGAAGCGCCCUGGGAGCGUCCUAUGAGCGCCCCAGGAGCGCCAAUAGCGCCCGAGGUGCGCCUGAGGACCUCACCAGCGUCGACCUGGGCACCAAGGAUGCCCUAAAUCGACCUGGGUGAGUUCGAAAACUGACUUGGGCGUCAAAAAACACCCAACGCCCGAGAGCGCCCGAGAAGCGCCCUGGGAGCGUCCUAUGAGCGCCCCAGGAGCGCCAAUAGCGCCCGAGGUGCGCCUGAGGACCUCACCAGCGUCGACCUGGGCACCAAGGAUGCCCUAAAUCGACCUGGGUGAAGGGCAACAUACAUACUAAGUAAGAGAUAAGGGAGAGAGACAAAUAGAGAGAGAGCGACUGAGAGAUAGUAACAGUCAGAGGGAGGGACAGAGUGAGAGAGGGAGACACAUAGAGAGAUCGGGAAAUAUAUUCUAAGAGAGUGGAGAUGGAGGGAAGGAGGGAGAGAGAGAUUUUUAGGACAUUCACUGAGAAAGCAAUGUCUAAAAUGUGAGUAUUAAUUUAUGAUGGGUCCUCAUUAAUGUCUGGGCUAAUACAUUUUGCCUUUAGAAAGCCUUUCCCCUUGCUGAUUUAUCUUUAUUUGUAUAACCCUGCAGUCAUAAUCUUUAUUUUGGUGCGCAUUAUUAAUUUUGGAGUUGCUUUCUGCGCUGACAUUUUUAUGAUUGCAGUCAGAAACUCAAUUUUCCUACUAGAGCUAUGUUCUGUUUCAUGACACAAAAUAGCUUACAAUUAGUGUAUGAGGGCCUUCGAUUUGGGUCCUUCGAUUUGCAGUCUAGAGGGCCUGGUUGGCAAGUUGAGACUGGUAGAAUGGACAACUUAACUACUAGCAAAACUACAACAAACAAUAACAUUCCACCCCAACUUCCGAUUAUAUCAGCACACGUAUAUGCCUAUGUAUUAUUUUACCAUAAUGGCGAGUUCUCUCGAUAUUGCUUGAUUAAUUUGCAUAACUUGUCUUUGCUGCAGGUAUUACAAUCUCGCACAUGCAGUGAAUGAAAGAGUUUUAAGGCAGCCCUCAAUGCUACAAGCUGGAAUCUUGAGAGAUUAUCAUAUUGUAUGUUCCAUUUUUCUGAGAGACUGAUCUAAAUAAAACUUAUUCUUUGGUUUAUUGUCUUAUGUCAUUGCGAGUAGCUCUUUCUUGUUAACAUAGCAACAAGUAGAUCCUUGCCAGUCAUGUGUAGUAUUAUGGAACAUUUGAUUUUUGAUUUGUUGAUGCAGAUAAGGACAACUACGUCAACUACCACAAGAGAUUAAUUGAUUUAGUAAAUAUCAGACGGUUAUGAGGACGACAACACCAUGGGUAGUGCCCAGCCAGCUUAUACUUCAAUGAGAAAGUAUGUAAGGUACUAUAGAGACUUUGUGAUUGGGCUUAACAAAUCCUUGGUGGAUGAUUCCAGUAUUGAGAUAUGCAUGCUUGUACAAGGUUAUUUGUAGCCAUUUGAAAUGUUAUUAAUUUAGUUUGUACAAAUUAUUUUAAUCUUUUGUUAGGCAAAGAUUUGACUUUCAGUUACUUGUAUAAAUUGUAUAAGACAAUAGUUUGAUUUCUAAAGUUUUUACCAUCUCAACAAUUGUACAAAUAAAGUUCACACAACUGUUGACUCUAUUAAUGCAAGAAAACACAUUAUUUUAUCGAAAUUGUUGUGGGGAGGGAAGAAAGACAAUACUUUGUCUCAAGGGAACUAUUGAAUAACAAAUUGUUUUAAAACAUUCUUUUAUAACUAAACCGUUGAAUGGAGUAAUUUCAAACAAUAUUUUUUUUUUUGGUAUUAUUGACUAUAGGAAAGAAGGACAAUCUUUCGUCUCAGGGGAACUAUUGUCUGAAACAUAUCAGACAUGUGGUAUGCAUUUAAGAAACGCAUGAAUAACACAAGGUCUUACAACACUCUGUUACAUCAAAACAGUUGUGUAUACCAACCUUCCAACAACAUUUUCUCGUAUUUGCGUUGUUGUCUUGCAGUAAGACAGACAACGAUUGCGUACCGUUGUCUCAUCCCAGUAUCAGACGGCAUCUCAAUACUCAACGGUAUUUGAGGGUUUCAGACAACGGGUAAUUUCCGUUGUCUGAGAUUCAUGUUUAGCAGUUAACUGGGGCAAUGACAGCACCAACGACAGUAAGGCCCGUCUUCCAGGUGGUUCCAUCACAUCCAUUCAUCGAGAACUUGACAGUAUUCUCACAGCCACAGGCGCCUGUGUUGCAGAAUUCACCAACCUUAAGUCCCACCAAAGUAUUCUUUGGCUUGGUCUUCAAAUCUUCCUUGUGCUCUUCAGUAGUGCCGUUGGGACGAGUAAGCUUAAGUGUCACUGGACCGUUCAUGCAAAGAUUGUCGCUAAGCUCCACAGCCAAAUACACUCCGUAUUUCACUCCCUUGAUGAGGUUGUUGGCAUUGUACUUUCCGUCAAUUUGUAGCCAGCAUACUGUGAUCAGUUCAGCAACCUCCAGAGACUGGCAGCUGUGUGUACAAAAGUCCGAAAAACCAAAUAUUAUGUAAAACUUUAUCUCAAAUCUUUGGUCUCGAAAAAUGGAAGUCAAUAAUGUCCAGUCAUUAAAUUUUGUAGUACAAAAACACCAAAAGCUUUCCAACAUGUGCUAUACAUACCUGAUUGGGUAGGUCUUAGAAACCCAUUUCCAGUAGCGGCUGUCUGAACCCCAAACUAUUGAGAGCUCCUUUGCACUGAUAACCGCUGCGAAGGACUGGACCAAUUCAUCAACAUUAACGGAGGUAUUUCCGAAUCAAAAUAUAUCGUACAAAAUUAUAUGACUAAUUAGACUAUAAUUAAGAACAAGUCACACGCAGGUAUACUGGUGUGUGCAUGGUGCAUGAAAAUAAUACUAUUGCAGAAUUAUAAUUUCAAUAGCUUAAUUAGUAUAUAAAAAGGUACCGAAAAUUAACAACCAAAACAACUUACACUCUUGUCUUUCACAGCCUGGACACCUUGAGUCCACAACGACACGAUGUCAUCACGCUGCAAUUGAGCCAUCUUCCUUGCUAGUUGAGAAUAAGAAGUUCUUGUGUAAUUCUUGUGCUGUCUAUGCCAAUCCUCACUUCCUUGAGCUGUAUUUAUAGCGUUUCAGACGGUCCUAUUUGUGCACUUAUUGAUAGUUACACUUAACCUUAUCUAUGGUAGUAGGAUGCUCUGUCCCGUUAUUCUUUCUUUUUAUUAAAUAAGUGGAGCUUGAAUAAGAGAUUCAUCAAUUAUUUAUGCCAUUUGUGCGGUAGAAGCCUCACUGGAAUCUGGUAACUUUCGGUUUUGAUUGAAAUACUCAUAUAACGAUGAAAUUGUGGAAGCAUCCUACUAUGAAAAAAGAAAUACAUACAGUGACAGGAGUACUUCUGUCAGAUCUCGGAAAUUGCUCAACUCGAUUAACUCUGAAAUUAAAUAUUGGCACACAUGAACCAAACCACAAAAAACUGAGCUUCUCAUGAAUCGUUGAACAAGUAUAUUCUGGAAACUGAACUAGAAAAUUCGUCACAAGAUCUGCCUGUAUAAAUAAACUUAUAAUUACUUUCAAGGCUGUUAAAUUUUAUAAUAUAUGUUCGUGAAAAAAUAUUCCUAAUCCAGAAUACCAACUACCACAGGUUGUUUCUGACCAUUAUUGGUAACCUUUUUGCCCAGAUACCGACCAAAUUAAGUUAUUUCUAAGUAAACACAUAAUUUAAGAAAUGAACCACAUUUCCGACCGCUAGUGUAUGAAAUCCGGUCGGUAAUGACUUCACGGUCGGAAAUGAAUUUAGUUUGUUGGAUUUAAAACAGCGAAUCCCCAAAUGAUCCUGCAAUACCUUCUGACUGAAUUUUUUUUAAAAAAAAACCCUUCUGACCGACUCAUUUCCGACCAACUCAGUUGGUCGCUUUUAUAAUAGGGGCUCCCCAAUUGAACCUUGAAUUUCGUUUUGACCGAAUCAUUUCCGACCAACGUUAUUGGUUGGUUUUAAAACAGGGCCCCAAAUGAACCCUAAAAUUUAUUUCCGACCGCCCCUAGUUGCUUUUAGGUCUAUUCAAGUGUAUGCCAGGUUCUAAGAAAAUUUUAAAACAUUACCGACUAAAGAUAGCGGUCGGUUGUCGGUCGGUUAUAAAUAUCAUUUCCGAUCUUUUAUUUACAACCAGGUUUUAAAGGACCAACACAAUCGGUCGGUCGGUGGUCGGUUACGAGUUGAAAACCGACCAACUCUCUUUAUUUCCGGUCGGCGGUCGGAAAUGCCCGCUUUUCUUGUAGUGAUAGCAACUUCCAUCGGAACACAAUAUCUUACACUUUUUAAGUCAUAAAUCACUGUUUUAAACUUUCCAAACAGCUUCCAAGUAUCAUAUUAAGCUUAUCUGAUGGCCCUUGUACUCGAAACAGAAUAAAACAUAUACAAACGAACACCACCAGAGCAAGGGUGUAGCCAAAAAGCUCAGAAAUUGCGUUAAAACCUUUUUAACAUCUUUGUGCGAGGGAGUAACUAAACAAAAGGUGAUUAAAGCACUCUGCUUAAAGUGUCAACGAAACUAAGUUCGUGUACACUUGAAUGAAAUUGAAAAAAAGAAUGAAAUGGAAAAUUGUUCGUAAAUUUAAUGGAAAAUGAACAAGUUACGAGCAGUGUUACGAAAAUUGGACCUAAUCGGUUAUCCUACCCAUUCAGGAUUAUCGGCAAUACGUGAUUAAUCGGAAGGAUUAAUUGGAGUGAAAACCAGAUAUAUUUUAAUAUUAAAUAAUAUUUAAUAUUUUUUUAUUAUUAUAUUAGUUAUUUAUUAUCAAAUAUAUAUAUUUAGUAUAUCAUAAAUUCUACGGUUGUUCAUAUUUAAAGUAAUAUAAUAGUUAAUUUUAAUAAAUUUUAUAUAUAAUUUGAUUAAAAAAAAUUUAUAAGGAUUAAUCAGAUUUUAAAAAUCAUAUCGGUCGCCUACCUUGGGGGAUUGAUCGUUAAAUCAAGCGAUUUUUAGAACAAUGGAUACGAGACAAUAGUGACUAAACACGGAUGAGCCUAAAUUUAGUGUACUCUUAGACUUUGCUGAGAGAAUGAAAUGAAAAUUGUAUUAUAUUUUGGGGAGGUUGGAGUAAAUGUUUAUAAUUUUCAUUACUUCUAUCAUUCUACACACCAUUCUACGUACACCAUUUGAGUUAAAAAAAUCUAACCCACAUAUUUUGAAAGGAAUGCUCGAUUCCAUUUCAUCUAACCCACAUAUUUUGAAAGGAAUGCUCGAUUCCAUUUCUUCUCUAUUUUCCAACAAUCCCCGUCAUGCAAAAUUCAGAUUCUCGAACUCACUCACUAUUGUCUAAUACAUUCUCCUUUCUCUUUUGUAGUUUCUCAUUCCAAGUGAACGCAACUUUAGUGUGCUUAAUUAAACAAACAUCAGCACACAACAAUAUACAGUUCCUCAUUAUGUUUAACUUAUCUUUUAGUCAGAUCUUUAAGUUGAAAGUGCUAAAGUGACAGUAGAGACCUUGAAGCAAUUACGAGCUAAACGUUAUAAUAGCUUGAACACUCCUUACUUUAACUUUUUAUAUAUUAAAAGCACCAACAUAUUGGCGAUUAUUUCACACAUUCCAUAUCAGCCACACCAGAUAGUUGAUGUUGGCAAUUGGAAAUUAUUUAGUACAUGAUGAUAAUCAGAUUCAUGUUUAGCAGUUAACUGGGGCAAUGACAGCACCAACGACAGUAAGGCCAGUCUUCCAGGUGGUUCCAUCACAUCCAUUCAUCGAGAACUUGACAAUAUUCUCACAGCCGCAGGGGGCUGUGUUGCAGAAUUCACCAACCUUAAGCCCCACCAAUGUAUUCUUUGGCUUGGUCGUCAAAUCUUCCUUGUGCUCUUCAGUAGUGCCGUUGGGACGAGUAAGCUUAAGGGUCACUGGACCGUUCAUGCAAAGAUUGUCGCUAAGCUCCACAGCAAGAUACACUCCGUAUUUCACUCCCUUGAUGAGGUUGGUGGCACUGUACUUUCCGUCAAUUUGUAGCCAGCAUACUGUGAUGAGUUCAGCAACCUCCAGAGGCUGGGGACUGUGUGUACAAAAGUCCGAAAACCCAAAUAUCAUGUAAAAAUUUGUCUCAAAUCUUUGGUCUCGAAAAUUGGAAGUCAAUGUCCAGUCAUUAAAUUCCAACAUGUGCUAUAUAUACAUACCUGAUUGGGUAUUUCUUAGAAACCCAUUUCCAGUAGCGGCAGUCUGAACCCCAAACUAUUGAGAGUUCCUUUGCACAGAUAACCGCAGCGAAGGACUGGACCAUUUAAUCAACAUUAACGGAGAUAUUUCCGAAUCAAAAUAUAUCGUACAAAAUUAUAUGACUAAUUAGACUAUAAUUAAGAACAAGUCACUGGUGUGUGCAUGGUGCAUGACAGUACUAAUAAUAUUGCAGAAUUAUAAUUUCAUUACCUAAAUAAAAAAAGUAGUGAAAAUUAACAACCAAAAUAACUUACACUCUUGUCUUUCGCAGCCUGGACACCUUGAGUCCACAACGACACGAUGUCAUCACGCUGCAAUUGAGCCAUCUGCCUUGCGAGUUGAGAAUAAGAAGUUGUUGUGUAAUUCUUGUGCUGUCGAUGCCAAUCCUCACUUCCUUGAGCUGUAUUUAUAGCGUUUCAGACGGUCCUAUUUGUCCACUUAUUGAUAGUUACACUUAACCUUAUCUACGGUAGUAGGAUGCUCUGUCCCGUUAUUCUUUCUUUUUAUAAAAUAAGUGGAGCUUGGAUAAGAGAUUCAUCAAUUAUUUAUGCCAUUUGUGCGGUAGAAGCCUCACUGGAAUCUGGUAACUUUUGGUUUUGAUUGAAAUACUCAUAUAACGACGAAAUUGUGGAAGCAUCCUACUAUGAGAAAAGAAAUACAGUGACAGGAGUACUUCUGUCAGAGCUAGGAGCCUAGGACAUUACUCAACUCGAGUAACUCUGAAAUUUAAUAUUGGCACAGAUGAACCAAACCACGAAACAUUGAGCUUCUCAGUAAUUGUUGAACCAGAAUUUUCUGGCAACUGAACUAGAAAAUUCGUCACAAGAUCUUGCUGUAUAUAUAAAUAAACUUAUAAUUACUUUCAAGGCUGUUAAAUUUCAUAAUAUAUGUUUGUGAAUAAAUAUUGAAUUAGUUGUUGAGUGAGUGUCAACCCUAGUCCCACGGAAAGAUAAAUAAGAUUUGUCUUAAACUUUAUUAGUAUGAGGUCUUCUGGGAGGAGUUUAAAAACAAAUCCGUGCGGGCUUGUGGAGUUGACAUGUGUUGCGCGGCCAAUAUUAGUAGCCAAGGAGAAGUUUAAUUGAUCAUAGGUGAAAUGGGGUCUGGGUACAUCCACUAAUUUCAAGGACAAGCCUGCAAUGGAAGAAUGAAAUCUGUCACAAAUGGAAUUGCAUAUGUCAUUUUUGACGGUUAAAUCCGUCAAAACUUUUCUCCAUUGCUAGGUUAAAGGGUUGUGUUACUUGUGUAGUUAACAGAACUGCCGCAUGGAAUUCAUCUAGUACUUGUAUAUGUUCCAGAUUCUCUCGCUGUCACUGUACUGUUGUAAUUUUAUUGAUGAUUUUUUCGAAACAUAUUUAUUUAAUAUUCAUUCACCAUUUUUGUUUGGCCAUAUUUUCUUGGCUUAAAGCAAGUGCUAGAAUAAAAGUAACAGUUACGACCCAAGCAGUAAAAUUGAAGGAACACUCCUUACUUUAACUUAUUAUUCAUUAAAACACCAACAUAUUGGCGAUUAUUUCACACAUUCCACAUCAGCCACACCAGAUAAGUGAUGUUGGAAAUUAGAAAUUAUUUAGUACAUGAUGAUUAUCAGAUUCAUGUUUAGCAGAUAACUGGGGCAAUGACAGCACCAAUGACAGUAAGGCCAGUCUUCCAGGAGGUUCCAUCACAUCCAUUCAUCGAGAACUUGACGGUUUUCUCACAGCCGCAGGCCGGGUUGGUGAAUUCACCCACCUUAAGUCCCACCCAUGUAUUUUUCGGCUUGGUAUGCAAAUCAUCGU